RNAcentral lists this ribosomal RNA (464 nucleotides) under uncultured bacterium. Its description in RNAcentral is "partial 16S ribosomal RNA". It matches the Rfam family "Bacterial small subunit ribosomal RNA", at positions 338 to 795 of the family's 1533-position model. The record is from RNAcentral.
CCUACGGUGUGCUGCAGUAGGGAAUUUUCGUCAAUGGGCGCAAGCCUGAACGAGCGAUGCCGCGUGAGUGAAGAAGGCCUUCGGGUCGUAAAGCUCUGUUGCGGGGGAAAAAAGGCAGCAUCAGGAAAUGGGUGCUGACUGAUGGUGCCCCGCCAGAAAGUCACGGCUAACUACGUGCCAGCAGCCGCGGUAAUACGGGGGGGGCGAGCGUUAUCCGGAAUGAUGGGGCGAAAGGGUGCGCAGGGGGUCCUGCAAGUCUGGGGGGAAACGCAUGAGCUGAACUCAUGCAUGGCUUUGGAAACUGGAGGACUGGAGAGCAGAAGAGGGCGGUGGAACUCCAUGUGUAGCGGUAAAAUGCGUAGAUAUAUGGAAGAACACCAGUGGCGAAGGCGGCCGCCUGGCCUGUUGCUGACGCUGAGGCACGAAAGCGUGGGGAGCAAAUAGGAUUAGAUACCCUUGUAGUC